Molecule: ribosomal RNA, 390 nt
Filed under: Staphylococcus warneri
Lineage: Bacteria; Bacillati; Bacillota; Bacilli; Caryophanales; Staphylococcaceae
Description: bacterial SSU rRNA
Rfam family: Bacterial small subunit ribosomal RNA
Source: RNAcentral
UAAUCAAACAGUUUGAUCCUGGCUCAGGAUGAACGCUGGCGGCGUGCCUAAUACAUGCAAGUCGAGCGAACAGACGAGGAGCUUGCUCCUCUGACGUUAGCGGCGGACGGGUGAGUAACACGUGGAUAACCUACCUAUAAGACUGGGAUAACUUCGGGAAACCGGAGCUAAUACCGGAUAAUAUAUUGAACCGCAUGGUUCAAUAGUGAAAGACGGUUUUGCUGUCACUUAUAGAUGGAUCCGCGCCGCAUUAGCUAGUUGGUAAGGUAACGGCUUACCAAGGCAACGAUGCGUAGCCGACCUGAGAGGGUGAUCGGCCACACUGGAACUGAGACACGGUCCAGACUCCUACGGGAGGCAGCAGUAGGGAAUCUUCCGCAAUGGGCGAAA